AACCUCCGCAAUGUGAGAAAUCGCGACGGGGGGAUCCCAAGUGCCAUUCUUAACGGGAUGGCUUUUCAUUAGUGUAAAGAGCUUUUGGAAUAAGAGCUGGGCAAGACCGGUGCCAGCCGCCGUGGUAACACCGGCAGCUCUAGUGGUAACAAUUUUUAUUGGGCCUAAAGCGUCCGUAGCCGGUUUAAUAAGUCUCUGGUGAAAUCCUGUAGCUUAACUGUGGGAAUUGCUGGAGAUACUAUUAGACUUGAGACCGGGAGAGGUUAGAGGUACUCCCAGGGUAGAGGUGAAAUUCUGUAAUCCUGGGAGGACCGCCUGUUGCGAAGGCGUCUAACUGGAACGGUUCUGACGGUGAGGGACGAAAGUUAGGGGCGCGAACCGGAUUAGAUACCCGGGUAGUCCUAACUGUAAACGAUGCGGACUUGGUGUUGGGGUGGCUUUGAGCUGCUCCAGUGCCGAAGGGAAGCUGUUAAGUCCGCCGCCUGGGAAGUACGGUCGCAAGACUGAAACUUAAAGGAAUU
Molecule: ribosomal RNA, 521 nt
Filed under: uncultured bacterium
Lineage: Bacteria
Description: bacterial SSU rRNA
Rfam family: Archaeal small subunit ribosomal RNA
Source: RNAcentral